GACGAACGCUGGCGGCGUGCUUAACACAUGCAAGUCGAACGGUAAGGCCCUUCGGGGUACACGAGUGGCGAACGGGUGAGUAACACGUGGGUGAUCUGCCCUGCACUUCGGGAUAAGCCUGGGAAACUGGGUCUAAUACCGGAUAGGACCAUGGACUUCACGGUUUGUGGUGGAAAGCUUUUGCGGUGUGGGAUGGGCCCGCGGCCUAUCAGCUUGUUGGUGGGGUAAUGGCCUACCAAGGCGACGACGGGUAGCCGGCCUGAGAGGGUGUCCGGCCACACUGGGACUGAGAUACGGCCCAGACUCCUACGGGAGGCAGCAGUGGGGAAUAUUGCACAAUGGGCGCAAGCCUGAUGCAGCGACGCCGCGUGAGGGAUGAC
Molecule: ribosomal RNA, 380 nt
Filed under: uncultured bacterium
Lineage: Bacteria
Description: bacterial SSU rRNA
Rfam family: Bacterial small subunit ribosomal RNA
Source: RNAcentral